RNAcentral lists this non-coding RNA (79 nucleotides) under Pseudorhodoferax sp. RNAcentral's name for it is "SAH sequence". It matches the Rfam family "SAH (S-adenosyl-L-homocysteine) riboswitch aptamer". Lineage: Bacteria; Pseudomonadati; Pseudomonadota; Betaproteobacteria; Burkholderiales; Comamonadaceae. The record is from RNAcentral.
CCCCGAGGAGCGUUGCAUCGCCGCGGCUGCAGGGCAGCCCGGCGCCAGGCUCGGGAUCGAACAACGACGCUCACCGGCC